This 221-nucleotide long non-coding RNA is filed under the name Panax ginseng (ginseng). RNAcentral describes it as "long non-coding RNA (PGIN_LNC008679)". Lineage: Eukaryota; Viridiplantae; Streptophyta; Magnoliopsida; Apiales; Araliaceae. The record is from RNAcentral.
UGUGACGCCCCCAAAAUAGGUAUAUAUCACCCAUCUUGAGUCGCCAAAUACAUGGUACAAAAAUACAAAUAUAACUUAAUAAUACAACUGUCGUAUAAAAUACGACAAAACAUAAACUGAGAGUUUUAAUAAGAAUAUUGUCAUCUAGACAAUAUCCACACUCAAUGGAGUCCUCAUUACAUUUAUUGUCACACUAUUUAACAGAAUAGUGAGGACUACUA